Long non-coding RNA from Mesoplodon densirostris (Blainville's beaked whale), 1922 nucleotides. RefSeq lists it as uncharacterized. The transcript has 2 exons. Lineage: Eukaryota; Metazoa; Chordata; Mammalia; Artiodactyla; Ziphiidae. The record is from RefSeq and is a predicted model, not a curated record.
GAGCACAGCCUCCCAGGAGAGCCCACCUUCUCACAAAGGAGAGCUCAGGGGAGACGGAGACUCCAGAAGUGCCCUCCUGCUGCAAACACAGGCAGGGCAAAAUUAAAGGCACAGAAAACAGAGCAGCUCAUCAGACAAAGAAAGGCCCGCAACUGUGACAGCUCCUCAGAUUUUCACGAGAACAGGGAGCUGAAUUAAGUAGCACUGAUUCAGCUCAUGGCUGGAGGCGGCUGGGAGCACGUCCCAAGGAGGGGAAUGACAGACGCACAGCACACAGCACUGCCAGACGGGGAUACACACGACACCGCUGACGGGAGAGGACCCAGAGGGGAAGCCCCGGUCCACCCUCACUGCACGGAAGCAAGCUGGAGACGGGGGAGAGGAGACGGGCGGUCGGCGAGAGGGCCCUCAUCAUUUUAAAACGCAGGUGGUAAUCGUGUGAUAACAGUAACACUGUCGGAAACCAGAGGGACAACCGGACGUCCCCUGGAAACAGAAAGAAAUAGGGAUGCUGCGCUCCCCACCCCCCGCAGGGCAUCCUCUCCCCGGGGCAGGUGCCUCUGGGAGCACGUGUCACACGUGGGAGGAAGCAUGUGGCACACACGCAGGGAACCACGCACAUCACCCGCGAGAAGACCUGUGUCUCACGUGUGGGAGGAAACAUACUCUAUGUGAGGGGAAGCACUGUCAUGUGUGAGAGGAACACACGUGUGAUGUGAGAAGAACAGGCGUGCAUGUUUGAGAUGAAACAUGCACGCCGAGCGUGGGGGCUGUUUCCGGCGGCACGGGUGUCCAUGCACGCGGCCUGGCCCCCCUGCUCCCUCUCGCCUCUCCCUUCCCCCUGGGCUCCCUCCCCGGGGAUGCGCCGAAGUACUUUGAAAACACAGGCCCACCGGCAAGUGACACAACUCAUCGCAGCCUGAAGGCCUCAGCUCAGACGCCCCCUUCUCUGUGACGGUGGCUCUGACGCCACCAGGAAGAAACGGGUGUCCUUCUGGCCACGUGCCCCUCUGCCUGGACCUCUCCUCAGUGUCACUGCAAUUAUCUGCACAUCUAUGUCGCCGCAUCACUGGAAGCUGAACUCGGGGCACAAAUGUCUCUGUUCCUUCUGUGGGUCUCACACCUAACACAGUGAGAGGAAUCAGUCCUGUCACCACACUGAAUAAGCACCGCUGAGCAAAUGAAUGAAUGCGUGAGUGAGUGGAUGAAUGACUGUCCCAACAAGGCCGCGUUCCUUCCCAGAAACAGAAAAGAAACACCAGCAGGUCAGAAACACUCUUUCUUUCCUAUCGUCUGGAUUCACAGUCAGAAGACCACCACAGGUGAAGAGUGUGAAGAGAAAGUUAUAAACCUCAGCCUCCGCCCUUUAAUUCAACUGUGGCCAGAGAAAAAUAACUGAAGCCAGAGGCUACAAGCCUGAAUCAGCAGCUUAAUGAGGACUUUGAAAGGAGAGGGCCGGCAGAGGACACAGUGGUUCUGCGCCUAGCACUCAAGGAGCCUCACACACUGGAGGAUGCAGCAGAGGUUACCAAGAGUUACACACUUGUGACCAUUAACUACCGAACUUUUCUGGACCUUACCUUUGGAAAGUUGGAUUUCUAAGACGGAUUUUUAAGAAGAACCAAAGUCUCUCAUCUAAUAUGAAAAUGUUUCUUUCACUAGGCCCACGGACCGAUGGCCCGUAUUCUAAAAGCCAGGACUGUUCCCAUAGAGAGUACAUUUGAUAAACAGGCAUAUGGAGCCGUAAACUAUGUUUGUCAGGAGGCUGAUGUCCCCCCUGGCUUAGAUAAUUAUGAUCCACUAUGACAGGGCCACAUAAGAGGUGCUCCCUGACACUGGUUAGCAAUGCAGAUGCUUGGGCCCACCCCCGAGAUUAUCUUGCUUCAAAAAGGAUUUCAGGAAGAUUAAAGCACUUUAUGUCA